Molecule: long non-coding RNA, 920 nt
Organism: Aquila chrysaetos chrysaetos
Lineage: Eukaryota; Metazoa; Chordata; Aves; Accipitriformes; Accipitridae
Exons: 4
Source: RefSeq, a predicted model, not a curated record
GUGUUUUAAUGGUUGCAUUUUCCCAACAGAACAUGUUGAAGAUCAUGUAGGUGAGUAAUCAACGCCAUAAAAUAGCUACCCCAUUUCCAUUGCUAUGGACAAGUCCUCAUUGUGAUUUUCUUGAUUCUCGGUGCGACGUGCCGGUUUAUCACUGUUGAAUGGUGAAAUUCACUCCAUCUCACUGAAACACUACUGUGAUAUACAUACGUAGUUAUUCCUUCCACUGUUUUCCUUCACUGUGUACACUCUUGGUUUUGAGCAGUUUCUAUACAUUUACUAACUCUACCCUCACAGUUUGCAGGGCAGGGCAUUAUUUCUGUCUCUGUUUUACAUACAGAAAAUAAGACAUAGGUUGUUCCAAGGUGACAGAGGACGUGACUGGCAAGGGGUGGCAAAAGCCCGGAUGUCCUGAAUUGGAGUCUAAUGUUUAAACCAUAAGGCCAUCAUUCCUCAAACACUUCAUCAGAGGAAAAGACAUGUCAGUGACUCUGUUCUGCAUUGUUUCCUGAGAUAGAAGACUUCCCAAGGUGUGCGUAGGUUGAGACCAAACACAAAAACCUCCUACUUCAGGUGCUGUUCUCCAACAAAGAAUUACUCAUCUCACUCCACUAGAGAACUUGGCCCUUGCUAGUCAGUAAGAAGACCUUGAGCAAGCAGAGGAAUCUUUUUCCUGCCAAGCUGUCUUCCCGAGCAGAGGCCAACUUGUAGCGACGCAGUGUGGAGAUGAGUCAGUGAGAAAUGGACUUAGGUAAACACUGUUAACUGAUGUUACAGAAAUUUCUGCCGUGUCUCCAGAGACAGCUGCAUUUAUUUCUUCAUCCAAGAACCACUGAGAUGGGGAGGUAUUUGAACACUCCUAAUUGAAAUCCUAGGGUAUCUGCUGGUCUUCUCCUUAUAACUUUUACCCCUGCAGAUUUCAG